RNAcentral lists this ribosomal RNA (619 nucleotides) under uncultured bacterium. RNAcentral's name for it is "bacterial SSU rRNA". The stretch from base 1 to 520 matches the Rfam family "Bacterial small subunit ribosomal RNA", at positions 338 to 873 of the family's 1533-position model. The record is from RNAcentral.
CCUACGGGAGGCAGCAGUAGGGAAUCUUGCGCAAUGGGCGAAAGCCUGACGCAGCCAUGCCGCGUGAAUGAUGAAGGUCUUAGGAUUGUAAAAUUCUUUCACCGGGGACGAUAAUGACGGUACCCGGAGAAGAAGCCCCGGCUAACUUCGUGCCAGCAGCCGCGGUAAUACGAAGGGGGCUAGCGUUGCUCGGAAUUACUGGGCGUAAAGGGAGCGUAGGCGGAUAGUUUAGUCAGAGGUGAAAGCCCAGGGCUCAACCUUGGAACUGCCUUUGAUACUGGCUAUCUUGAGUAUGGGAGAGGUGAGUGGAACUCCGAGUGUAGAGGUGAAAUUCGUAGAUAUUCGGAAGAACACCAGUGGCGAAGGCGACUCACUGGCCCAUUACUGACGCUGAGGCUCGAAAGCGUGGGGAGCAAACAGGAUUAGAUACCCUGGUAGUCCACGCCGUAAACGAUGAGUGCUAGUGUCGGCGAUGCAUGCAUGUCGGUGACGCGAGCUACGACAUUAAGACACCUCCGCCGUCGGGGAGGUACGGUCGGCGAAGUAAGUUAAACGUUAACAAAUAGUUAAGUUAGUACGGCGUUGAGACGUUGCCGACGGACGACGACGAGGGAGGAGG